UACUAGAGUAGCACUCGCAUAUCAAUAAGCGGAGGAAAAGAAACUAACAAGGAUUCUCUUAGUAACGGCGAGUGAAGCGGGAAGAGCUCAAAUUUGAAAUCUUCAAGGUUCUACCUUGACGAAUUGUAGUUUAUAGAAGUGUUUUCUGUUAGUAGGAGUGGCAAAAGUUCUUUGGAAUAGGACAUCAUAGAGGGUGAGAAUCCCGUAUUUGGUCAUUCCUUCCUAGCUUUGUGAUACACUUUCAACGAGUCGGAUUGUUUGGGAAUGCAGUCCAAAAUGGGUGGUAAAUUUCAUCUAAAGCUAAAUAUUGGCGAGAGACCGAUAGCGAACAAGUACCGUGAGGGAAAGAUGAAAAGAACUUUGAAAAGAGAGUUAAACAGUACGUGAAAUUGUCAAAAGGGAGGCGUUUGACACCAGUGUUGUUUUCUUGAAAAUCAAUUAAAAAUGGCGGGAUUUUGUGUUGUAUUGACUUUAUCAGCUUUCCUGCACUUUUUUCCUGUCUUUUUUAAUGCACUUUUCGUUUAACAAGUCAACAUCAAUUUCCUUUUGUUGUAAAAGGGUCAUUGGAAGGUGGCUUUCUUUUCGGAGAAAGUGUUUAUAGCCUUUGAUCUCUGCAAUCGGAGAGACUGAGGUCUGCAGCGUAGAUCCUUCGGGGUUAGAUACAUUUGUGCUAAGUUAUAGCUUUUCAUAGACAACUUGUUGACUAUGAUUUAGUCAUGUAGCUUACUCGCUUAUGCUAUUUUACCUACGCUUAGGAUGUUGAAGAUGUAGCACAUCAU
RNAcentral lists this ribosomal RNA (779 nucleotides) under uncultured Neocallimastigales. RNAcentral describes it as "partial large subunit ribosomal RNA". It matches the Rfam family "Eukaryotic large subunit ribosomal RNA", at positions 20 to 635 of the family's 3401-position model. Lineage: Eukaryota; Fungi; Neocallimastigomycota; Neocallimastigomycetes; Neocallimastigales. The record is from RNAcentral.